UGGGGAAUAUUGGACAAUGGGGGCAACCCUGAUCCAGCGAUGCCGCGUGUGUGAAGAAGGCCUGCGGGUUGUAAAGCACUUUAGUUGGGGAGGAAAGGUAUGUACUGCAUAAGUGCAUGCUGUGACGUUACCCAAAGAAUAAGCACCGGCAAACUCUGUGCCAGCAGCCGCGGUAAUACAGAGGGUGCAAGCGUUAAUCGGAAUUACUGGGCGUAAAGCGCGCGUAGGUGGUUAUGUAAGUUGGAUGUGAAAUCCCCGGGCUCAACCUGGGAACUGCAUCCAAAACUGCAUGGCUAGAGUACGGUAGAGGGUGGUGGAAUUUCCUGUGUAGCGGUGAAAUGCGUAGAUAUAGGAAGGAACACCAGUGGCGAAGGCGACCACCUGGACUGAUACUGACACUGAGGUGCGAAAGCGUGGGGAGCAAACAGGAUUAGAUACCCCGGUAGUCCCUGAGCGGGCUGGCAAGGCGCAU
RNAcentral lists this ribosomal RNA (472 nucleotides) under uncultured bacterium. Its description in RNAcentral is "bacterial SSU rRNA". It matches the Rfam family "Bacterial small subunit ribosomal RNA", at positions 355 to 825 of the family's 1533-position model. The record is from RNAcentral.